Aquila chrysaetos chrysaetos is the source of this 4259-nucleotide long non-coding RNA. RefSeq lists it as uncharacterized. The transcript has 3 exons. The record is from RefSeq and is a predicted model, not a curated record. NCBI's taxonomy places the organism in Eukaryota, Metazoa, Chordata, Aves, Accipitriformes, Accipitridae.
AUUGUUAGUUUUAGAGAAAAAGAGGUAAAUUUUUAAGGCUUGAGUUUUGAUAAUUCUGUGAAUAAGUAGCAAUAUCAAAGCAGCAGGCCACUCCAUCCUUAGAAACGCUUCAAGAAUUUCAAAUGAGAAAAACAGUAUCUCAAAAGUUUUUAUUCUUUUUAAAUGCAAAUAAAUGAAAAUCUAAUUAAAGAUGCAUGGUUUGUUGACACUUCUUAUUUCAAAGUUAGGGUUUACACUAUUUUUAAAUGAAAAUCUUAAAUAAUGCCUGGUCUUCGAGAUAACUUCAUUUUUUUCAUAAGGAGAAUGCUGAUUAUAUUUGUAUUGAUUUGGUAUACAUAACACUAGUAUAAAGUAAGUGACAGUUUUCUAUUUAAAAUAGGAAAGGAAAAGUGCAUAUUUUAUACCAUUAAAAUGUUGUAAACUAAUUUUGAUAGAAGUUUGUAUAUGACAAUCUUUUUAAAGGAUCUACAGCUGUACAACCUUUACUUUUAGAAGGAGCUACCUCAAGUCCCUUCCCGUAUCCUGAUUACCCUAAAUAGCAAGGAUUGAAGGGCUUUAGUCGUCAAGGAUCUAACAGUGUUUCUACUCCCCUCUGUCCACCAUGCAUGCAUCCUAUUCUUGUGCUGAACCAAAUCUAAUACAUUUACUUCACUGAUCUGAAAAUAGAAUCUAUGGAUCAUUACUGGUGUAGGAUGGUCCUGUAAUUCAAGACUUUCAUUGACGCAAAUGAGCAAGACCAAAACCACAGGUGACCCACCUGUGUAUCUCGCAUACAUCUGCAAGUAGAUCAAAUGCAGCUCCCGUAACUGGCACUAUGGCAACUGGGAAGCUGCUGAAUACUCUCAACCCCCAGGUGAGCAUCCAAUGGCUGAUACUGGUUGCCCUAAGACCCUGCUGCUCAGUUGUGUCCCAGCCCUUACUGGAGCAAUGAGCUCUCUGGUCCUCACUCACUCAUGUGGAACUCUGAGUUUUCUCUCCUCAGACCUCCAACGUAUGAAAUAUGUGUUUUAUGAUUAAUUGACCAUAAAUUUUUUUGUUUGUGGUUCAGAAAGGUUCACAAUUCAUUAGCAGUGCUCAUAUCAAAAUUGUCAUGGGAAUCUGUCACUUUAACUGAGACAAUGCAAUGUGUUGCUGUGAAAUGAUGUGGGAUGCUCAAAGAAAAAAAACAAUAGGAGACUAAUUUGGUGGGAAAGGCACAGUAAGAUCUCAUUUUCACACUGCCAGAACUCUACAAAGCAGUAUCCUAUAUACUGAUAGUGCUUUGGCCAUAAAAGUGAGCGAGCUGGAACGCAUUAACAGUUUUGACCAUUAGUAAUGGGUGGUAGAAAGUGGAGCUCUCUUGGCUAGCAAAGUGUAUUGCUGGGGAAGUGAGUUAGUGCCUUGGAAAGUGCUCAGCUUUUACGUUGGGUCUGAGAGAUGAGAGGAAAGAUUAUGACCUCUGAUUCCCUAUGUUAUGGAGAAGUGUGAACUUUUUGCAGCUAUGGGCUCCACAGAAGUCCUGUGUUUACUCACUACUAGGAUUCACCUUCCAUUAGAAUGUCAUGUCCAAAGUAGAAAAAGAGGUUACUUUUUGUAGAUGGGCAGGCUUUGCAUUUCUUAUGUUUGGAUUAAAUGAAAUCUUGGAGAUAUUAGCCAAAAGCAAGCUUGAUUACAUAAAUAUUCUCCUGGCCACAUCACUUCAUCAGAGCUUUUUUUAGGAAUAAUAAAUGUUUCAAAGAUAGCCUAUAAAAAUGUCAUGUAGAAAAAACCAGCAGCAGAUGAUUUAAUGUGAGUGAAAUAAUUGCCAUGAUUGGCUAUAAAGCUAUCUUAAUAUAACAUUCAAUUUUGCAGUUAAGCAUCUCCCUCACAAAUAGGAAUCAAAUUGCAUCAGCUUAGAUACUAAAAUCAUAGAUUGUAACAAAAAAGUUGUUUCUACAAAGAAUUUUUUGAAGUUUAUCUUUCUAUUUGAAAGUGUGUUUAAGAAAAAAGAUCUGUUUCUGAUUGUUCUGAUUUUCAUUGUCAUUGGAUAGAUUUUUGUGGUACAUGCUGAAGGGUGACUAAAUUUCUUCUCCUUUCUUUUCUCUAAGGAAGGGGAGUCAGAUGUGCUGCCUUUGAUUACCUCUUGUUCAUGUCUGCACAAGAUUCACCAAGUUUCUCCCCUGUAUCAGUCGAACUCAAUAAAUUCAAUUAUCUGUGCUCUUAAUUACUGAUUUCUUGAGCUUUAGCUGCCUGAUUUGUCAGAAAGAGUUCUGUUUCUCACUUCUUUGCCACUUUCUUUUGUUCUUCCAUCAGAACUAGGAGGGAUCAACAUAUCUCAUUUCUUGCAUCACUAUCAACGCUAGGGCAGCUAUCAAAUGCUCUGUUGCUGAAAAGAGCACUGGUUGAUAUAAAACCAGCUUAGUGUUAGUAAGCAAGAGGAAAGUGGAUAAUAAAUUAAAAUCACAGGAAGAAACUGCCUUUUGUUGUUAGUUUGCUUUUAAAGAACUGCACUGAAAUAAGACUUUUACUUACUAGUGGUGUAAUUCAUGUUAAACAAAUAACCAAAAUGCACACUCUAAAAUUAACAGCUGUUUUUUCUUUUGUUUCUCAACCAGAAAAGUCUUUCUUAAGCAAUCAGUACAUUCAAGGCAGUGUGCCUUCUCAUGCUGCACAUUUGAGCUGUGACUGAGCACCAGUUGGCCAGUAGUGCAUUUAGUGAUGGUUCGCGGCCUUGGGCAGCACUUCUGUUCUGUUAGAGAGAGGAGGUAGGCUGAUACCACAAAACAUUUAAAGACCUUCUUUUAACAUUUUAUGCAAAGCCACAGUCUGAAGUUCAAAACUUCUGUAACAUGUUCAGAAAGAAAUUCAGCAUAAGGCAUAUUCUAUGACAAUUUCUGGAAUUUCACAUGACAGACCAGACCUUGGGCAGGCAAGUGGAAUUCCCUUCAGAUGAUGAUAAAGCAGAAGAUAUGCUCCAAGGUGCACUUAAUGCAUUUCAGCUGUUAAUAGCAAUGUAAUGCUUGGGACCAGAUUAAAGGGAAUCCAAAGUAAGAUUUCUUUAAAAAAGUGUAUUUUAGCCAUUAAGGUUCUCAGCAGCAACUUUUUCCUUCUAUAUAUCCAUUCCCAUUGUGCCGCAUGACUUGCUAAUUUAAAUAUAACUUCUAUUGCCCAAGACAUGUUGUCCUAGAAACUACUGUAAUAAUGCAUUACUGUUUGGGAUAUUUAUAUGUAUAGCCCUGCACAUAUCUUAUGGCUGGUUGCCCCUAUAAUUAAAUCACUUGUGAUUAUAGGUUAUGUUUAUAAUUUAUCAUGUGACUUAUAAAUAUCAAUUUAAUAUCUGUUAAAACUUCCCGUUUCCCAGGUGAGAAAUAGAAAAGAAUUUUGGAGUGAAGCUUCAUGUAGAAGUUUUCCUGGGCUGUGCAAGGAGAAGGCUGUGUUCUUGUGACACUCGCCAUAUUCUGACUAUUUUUCACUUCCUGAUAUUUAAUACAGCUGGUUCUGAGGGAAGCGAUGGAUCUGCCAUCUAGCUUGUGAUUGAAACUUCUUGAGCUUUUCAUGACAUUGUUUCUUCAGAUGUGCAACACCUGCCCCUGCUGUGCAAAGGGUAAAGAAGUAUUUGGUGACCCAGGACAAGGGACAGGGCAGCCUCAGUCUCAGGGUGUUCUACUGACAGAUUAGAGAAUGGGACAAAGACCUUGUGAAAAUAAGAAGAGAAAUGUGGGUCAAAAGAAAACAGGAGAAACUGCAGUGAAUUUAAGAAGAGUUGAAGAUCCAGCAUGCACUGUGAAGCUUUUUGCUUAGCAGUCAGUGGAGAUAAACUUUACAUUUCAAAGACAGCAGGAUGAGAGGCCAGAUUAACAGUGGACGAAGUGAAAAAAAAUUUUUUUGAGCCUUCAGUAAUGCAGGAUCAGAAGAGUUUGCUGUGAUAGCAUAUUUAACAUACUUUAGAAGCCAAUUGCAGGAUACUUUGUGGCACUACCAAGACCAGAGAAGACUUCAGGAACCCUAGAGGAGAGCAGAAAUAGAAAAAACUUCAAGAAGUCUCAAAAUCCUUGUAGGUGACUGAGAGAAGGAAUUAAAUAUGAAAUGUAAACCACUGGUGUGAAUAUGUAGAUUUUAGUUUUGUGGCAAAUUGGACAUUCUGAUUUUGCAUUUUUUAGCCAAAAAAAGUUAUUGAGCUCUGUGAAAACACAAUUAGAUAAAAUGUUGUGAAGAUUAAUUAUAAAUUUAGCACGGGAGAAACAAUAAACUUCUUUUAUGAAAAGAAAUAAGUAGCUAAGUGAAAUCUGUGUUUUCCUGAA